AUAUGUUUGUUUCCUUUUUUAUAAGAAAACACAAUUAAAUGGAUCCCGCGUCAAAAUCGGCGGAAUCGCUUCAUUUCCUUGGCCGGGGCAGGUGGAUAUGUUUGGAUUUCCCUUUUGGGGGGCCACUUUAGGAAGGAAUUUUAACCCGCUACCCUCCUCCGGGGAAAACCAGGGAUCUCCGACCUUCGCUUAAAAGUAACCUUAAUCGGAUUACUUAGUUGGUGGGUUAAAGCCUCACCAAGGCGACGAUCUGUAGCGGGUCUGAGAGGAUGAUCCGCCACACUGGGACUGAGACACGGCCCAGACUCCUACGGGAAGCAGCAGUGGGGAAUAUUGGACAAUGGGCGCAAGCCUGAUCCAGCCAUGCCGCGUGUGUGAAGAAGGCCUUAUGGUUGUAAAGCACUUUAAGCGAGGAGGAGGCUACUGAAGUUAAUACCUUCAGAUAGUGGACGUUACUCGCAGAAUAAGCACCGGCUAACUCUGUGCCAGCAGCCGCGGUAAUACAGAGGGUGCAAGCGUUAAUCGGAUUUACUGGGCGUAAAGCGCGCGUAGGCGGCUAAUUAAGUCAAAUGUGAAAUCCCCGAGCUUAACUUGGGAAUUGCAUUCGAUACUGGUUAGCUAGAGUGUGGGAGAGGAUGGUAGAAUUCCAGGUGUAGCGGUGAAAUGCGUAGAGAUCUGGAGGAAUACCGAUGGCGAAGGCAGCCAUCUGGCCUAACACUGACGCUGAGGUGCGAAAGCAUGGGGAGCAAACAGGAUUAGAUACCCUGGUAGUCCAUGCCGUAAACGAUGUCUACUAGCCGUUGGGGCCUUUGAGGCUUUAGUGGCGCAGCUAACGCGAUAAGUAGACCGCCUGGGGAGUACGGUCGCAAGACUAAAACUCAAAUGAAUUGACGGGGGCCCGCACAAGCGGUGGAGCAUGUGGUUUAAUUCGAUGCAACGCGAAGAACCUUACCUGGCCUUGACAUAGUAAGAACUUUCCAGAGAUGGAUUGGUGCCUUCGGGAACUUACAUACAGGUGCUGCAUGGCUGUCGUCAGCUCGUGUCGUGAGAUGUUGGGUUAAGUCCCGCAACGAGCGCAACCCUUUUCCUUAUUUGCCAGCGAGUAAUGUCGGGAACUUUAAGGAUACUGCCAGUGACAAACUGGAGGAAGGCGGGGACGACGUCAAGUCAUCAUGGCCCUUACGGCCAGGGCUACACACGUGCUACAAUGGUCGGUACAAAGGGUUGCUACCUAGCGAUAGGAUGCUAAUCUCAAAAAGCCGAUCGUAGUCCGGAUUGGAGUCUGCAACUCGACUCCAUGAAGUCGGAAUCGCUAGUAAUCGCGGAUCAGAAUGCCGCGGUGAAUACGUUCCCGGGCCUUGUACACACCGCCCGUCACACCAUGGGAGUUUGUUGCACCAGAAGUAGGUAGUCUAACCGCAAGGAGGACGCUACCACGGUGCCGAUCUCU
This 1450-nucleotide ribosomal RNA is filed under the name bacterium. RNAcentral's name for it is "bacterial SSU rRNA". It matches the Rfam family "Bacterial small subunit ribosomal RNA". The record is from RNAcentral.